This 264-nucleotide ribosomal RNA is filed under the name uncultured bacterium. RNAcentral describes it as "partial 16S ribosomal RNA". It matches the Rfam family "Bacterial small subunit ribosomal RNA", at positions 793 to 1055 of the family's 1533-position model. The record is from RNAcentral.
GUCCACGCCGUAAACGAUGCCGACUAGCCGUUGGGCCCUUUCGGGGGCUUAGUGGCGCAGCUAACGCGGUAAGUCGGCCGCCUGGGGAGUACGGCCGCAAGGUUAAAACUCAAAUGAAUUGACGGGGGCCCGCACAAGCGGUGGAGCAUGUGGUUUAAUUCGAUGCAACGCGAAGAACCUUACCUACCCUUGACAUCCUAAGAACUUGCCGGAGACGGCUUGGUGCCUUCGGGAACUUAGAGACAGGUGCUGCAUGGCUGUCGU